AGGACGAACGCUGGCGGCGUGCUUAACACAUGCAAGUCGAGCGGAAAGGCCCUUCGGGGUACUCGAGCGGCGAACGGGUGAGUAACACGUGAGCAACCUGCCCUUAGCUCCGGGAUAGCUCCGGGAAACCGGAAUUAAUACCGGAUACAACCACGGCCGACAUCUGCUGUGGUGGAAAGGAUUCCGGCUAAGGAUGGGCUCGCGGCCUAUCAGCUAGUUGGUGGAGUAACGGCCCACCAAGGCGACGACGGGUAGCCGGCCUGAGAGGGCGACCGGCCACACUGGGACUGAGACACGGCCCAGACUCCUACGGGAGGCAGCAGUGGGGAAUAUUGCGCAAUGGGCGAAAGCCUGACGCAGCGACGCCGCGUGGGGGAUGAAGGCCUUCGGGUUGUAAACCCCUUUCAGCAGGGACGAAGCGAAAGUGACGGUACCUGCAGAAGAAGCGCCGGCUACUACGCGCCAGCAGCCGC
RNAcentral lists this ribosomal RNA (473 nucleotides) under uncultured bacterium. RNAcentral's name for it is "SSU rRNA". It matches the Rfam family "Bacterial small subunit ribosomal RNA", at positions 26 to 518 of the family's 1533-position model. The record is from RNAcentral.